AUUGAACGCUGGCGGCAGGCCUAACACAUGCAAGUCGAACGAGUGGCGGACGGGUGAGUAAUGUCUGGGAAACUGCCCGAUGGAGGGGGAUAACUACUGGAAACGGUAGCUAAUACCGCAUACCAUCGGAUGUGCCCAGAUGUGAUUAGCUAGUAGGUGGGGUAACGGCUCACCUAGGCGACGAUCCCUAGCUGGUCUGAGAGGAUGACCAGCCAACCGGGAACUGAGACACGGUCCAGACUCCUACGGAAGGAAGCAGGGGGGAAUAUUGCACAAUGGGCGCAAGCCUACUGCAGACCGGCCGGGUGUAGGAAGAAGGCUUUCGGGUUGUAAAGUACGUUCAGCGAGGAGGCGUUACUCGCAGAAGAAGCACCGGCUAACUCCGUGCCAGCAGCCGCGGUAAUAC
Molecule: ribosomal RNA, 406 nt
Filed under: uncultured bacterium
Lineage: Bacteria
Description: partial 16S ribosomal RNA
Rfam family: Bacterial small subunit ribosomal RNA
Source: RNAcentral